ACACGUAGGGGGCGAGCGUUGUCCGGAUUUAUUGGGCGUAAAGAGCUCGUAGGCGGCUUGGCAAGUCGGCCGUGAAAACCCGGGGCUCAACCCCGGGACGCCGGUCGAAACUGCCAUGGCUAGGGUCCGGUAGAGGUGAGUGGAAUUCUCGGUGUAGCGGUGAAAUGCGCAGAUAUCGAGAGGAACACCAGUAGCGAAGGCGGCUCACUGGGCCGGUACCGACGCUGAGGAGCGAAAGCGUGGGGAGCAAACAGGAUUAGAAACCCCGGUAGUCC
Molecule: ribosomal RNA, 275 nt
Filed under: uncultured bacterium
Lineage: Bacteria
Description: partial 16S ribosomal RNA
Rfam family: Bacterial small subunit ribosomal RNA
Source: RNAcentral